This is a non-coding RNA of Roseburia sp. CAG:303, 262 nucleotides long. It matches the Rfam family "Bacterial large signal recognition particle RNA". Rfam says of the family: The signal recognition particle (SRP) is a universally conserved ribonucleoprotein involved in the co-translational targeting of proteins to membranes. Archaeal SRP consists of a 7S RNA and homologues of the eukaryotic SRP19 and SRP54 proteins. The record is from Rfam. NCBI's taxonomy places the organism in Bacteria, Bacillati, Bacillota, Clostridia, Lachnospirales, Lachnospiraceae.
CCACGCAGCCGGGGAGUUAGCGGUGUCCUGUACCUGCAAUCCGCUCUAGCAGGGGUGAUGUUCUUCCCAGGGUAUUUUAUUGUGAAGCAGCCUUUUAUAAGUGGCGUUGACGUUUGGGUCUUACGCAAUGGGAAUUCAUGAAUCGUGUCAGGUCAGGAAUGGAGCAGCACUAAGUGAAACCUCUCAUGUGCCGUGAGGGUGCCUGGACUGAGUUAACUGUAAGAGUAACGUUCAUGAGGAAUAUUCAAAGAAGAGCGCGUGG